This 1314-nucleotide ribosomal RNA is filed under the name Listeria monocytogenes. Its description in RNAcentral is "partial 23S ribosomal RNA". It matches the Rfam family "Bacterial large subunit ribosomal RNA", at positions 1 to 1307 of the family's 2925-position model. The record is from RNAcentral. Lineage: Bacteria; Bacillati; Bacillota; Bacilli; Caryophanales; Listeriaceae.
UUGGUUAAGUUAGAAAGGGCGCACGGUGGAUGCCUUGGCACUAGGAGCCGAAGAAGGACGGGACUAACACCGAUAUGCUUUGGGGAGCUGUACGUAAGCGUUGAUCCAGAGAUUUCCGAAUGGGGGAACCCACUAUCUUUAGUCGGAUAGUAUCCUUACGUGAAUACAUAGCGUGAGGAAGGCAGACCCAGGGAACUGAAACAUCUAAGUACCUGGAGGAAGAGAAAGAAAAAUCGAUUUCCUGAGUAGCGGCGAGCGAAACGGAAAGAGCCCAAACCAAGAAGCUUGCUUCUUGGGGUUGUAGGACACUCUAUACGGAGUUACAAAAGAAAGUUAUAAAUGAAGCGGUCUGGAAAGGCCCGCCAAAGACGGUAACAGCCCGGUAGUUGAAAUGGCUUUCCCUCCAGAGUGGAUCCUGAGUACGGCGGAACACGUGAAAUUCCGUCGGAAUCCGGGAGGACCAUCUCCCAAGGCUAAAUACUCCCUAGUGACCGAUAGUGAACCAGUACCGUGAGGGAAAGGUGAAAAGCACCCCGGAAGGGGAGUGAAACAGUUCCUGAAACCGUGUGCCUACAAGUAGUUAGAGCCCGUUAAUGGGUGAUAGCGUGCCUUUUGUAGAAUGAACCGGCGAGUUACGAUUUGUUGCAAGGUUAAGCGGAAAAAGCGGAGCCGUAGCGAAAGCGAGUCUGAAUAGGGCGCAUAAGUAACAGGUCGUAGACCCGAAACCAGGUGAUCUACCCAUGUCCAGGAUGAAGGUAAGGUAAUACUUACUGGAGGUCCGAACCCACGCACGUUGAAAAGUGCGGGGAUGAGGUGUGGGUAGCGGAGAAAUUCCAAUCGAACUUGGAGAUAGCUGGUUCUCUCCGAAAUAGCUUUAGGGCUAGCCUCGAGGUAAAGAGUCAUGGAGGUAGAGCACUGUUUGGACUAGGGGCCCUUCUCGGGUUACCGAAUUCAGAUAAACUCCGAAUGCCAUGUACUUAUACUCGGGAGUCAGACUGCGAGUGAUAAGAUCCGUAGUCGAAAGGGAAACAGCCCAGACCACCAGUUAAGGUCCCCAAAUAUAUGUUAAGUGGAAAAGGAUGUGGGGUUGCUUAGACAACCAGGAUGUUGGCUUAGAAGCAGCCACCAUUGAAAGAGUGCGUAAUAGCUCACUGGUCGAGUGACCCCGCGCCGAAAAUGUACCGGGGCUAAACAUAUUACCGAAACUGUGGAUGAACCUCUUUAGAGGUUCGUGGUAGGAGAGCGUUCUAAGGGCGGUGAAGUCAGACCGGAAGGACUGGUGGAGCGCUUAGAAGUGAGAAUGCCGGUAUGAGU